RNAcentral lists this long non-coding RNA (419 nucleotides) under Anas platyrhynchos platyrhynchos (common mallard). Its description in RNAcentral is "lncRNA (ENSAPLG00000023476.1)". Lineage: Eukaryota; Metazoa; Chordata; Aves; Anseriformes; Anatidae. The record is from RNAcentral.
UUGUCUUUGUUGUUGAAGGUACAACCCAAACCUCCACAACUGAGGGGGUCCACCAUAUCCUCUGGGCUACUGAAGAUAAUCCCAUUGUAAGUUGUUAUGAAUUUUCAGCAUUUCCCUGGCACUCAUUACUGUGACACCCAAGCACCUGGAUACAAGCAAUACACUUUGACCUGUCAAGCUAUUGCAAACUGCUGCAAAUGAAACACCUGUAACCAUUGUGGAUAACUAUUGGAAAACAAAUUUGAAGUCAAAAACCCCACAAAAUAUGAACGUAGUAAAAAUUCUUCAGAGGACUGCAGUAAGCACCACUUAUACACAAUCCUUGUAAUUCUGUGUAGACUAAACCUGCAAGGUAAACUCCGGCUGCACACAGUUCAUUUCACCGUUUGGUUAUAGUGAGAUUACAAACUGGAACCAGU